Molecule: transfer RNA, 66 nt
Filed under: Epicypta sp. WQY003
Lineage: Eukaryota; Metazoa; Arthropoda; Insecta; Diptera; Mycetophilidae
Description: tRNA-His
Source: RNAcentral
AUUUAAAUAGUUAAAAUAAAAAAUAUUGAUUUGUGGUGUCAAAGAUAGAGGAUUCUCUUUUAAAUA